AUACGUAGGGGGCGAGCGUUGUCCGGAAUUACUGGGCGUAAAGAGCUCGUAGGUGGUUUGUCGCGUCGUCUGUGAAAUUCCGGGGCUUAACUCCGGGCGUGCAGGCGAUACGGGCAUAACUUGAGUACUGUAGGGGAGACCGGAAUUCCUGGUGUAGCGGUGAAAUGCGCAGAUAUCAGGAGGAACACCGGUGGCGAAGGCGGGUCUCUGGGCAGUAACUGACGCUGAGGAGCGAAAGCAUGGGUAGCGAACAGGAUUAGAUACCCUGGUAGUCCAUGCCGUAAACGGUGGGCGCUAGGUGUAGGGGUCUUCCACGACUUCUGUGCCGUAGCUAACGCAUUAAGCGCCCCGCCUGGGGAGUACGGCCGCAAGGCUAAAACUCAAAUGAAUUGACGGGG
This 398-nucleotide ribosomal RNA is filed under the name uncultured bacterium. RNAcentral's name for it is "partial 16S ribosomal RNA". It matches the Rfam family "Bacterial small subunit ribosomal RNA", at positions 523 to 918 of the family's 1533-position model. The record is from RNAcentral.